CGUCUGUUUUAGACGAAGACGAAGAGCAAGGCGACGAAUAGCGACUCACCGGCGGCGUUGGAACUUCCAUCUAGAUCUCGCACUUGCCCUUGCCCUUGCGGAGGCGACUGGUGCAGAUUAAUAGCAAAGAUUUGUGUCCUUUUUUGGGUAUGUAUUCUAUCCUUUUGUUCAAGGGUUUUCUUGGAACAUGGAGGAGGAGAGAGAGAGAGGCAUGUCGGCCUAGAGAGAGAGAGAGAGAGAGAGAGAGAGAGAGGUCGAUCUGCCAGAAUUCGACGCAGGCGAGGGAGGCAGCAACUCACGACGUCCUACGCAUGGGCAAAGAAAACUUCAAAAAGAUAGUCUGUUCCUACUCAUGCUCAUGCCGGUGGCUAAACUCCCGAUCUCCAGAUCCCCUUGCAUCUCCUGGUCUCACGUCGUUUCUCGAGUCACCUGUUCUCUUCUCCAAUAUAUAUGACUGUGCAAGAAAUGGUGAUAUUUUCAACCAGUGUGCUGAGUAUUAAGUGGACGAUAAAAGGGAAGCCUAACUAAAUCCUUAUUUGCUGGUAUAGGAGGAGACUUGAUUAUUAAAGUUGCUUCUCAGUUUACUCUGAACCAGAUCAGUUGACAAGUGAUUUAGCACAAGCAGUUUUGGGAUUUAUCAGCUUCAUCAGCAAUUGCUCGGGCUUAUUUCUGGAUGUCACGCUGUCUUUUCGCUACGACCGAGUCUGGGAAAGAUGUAUCCGACUUUGUUAAGGACAUUACUAGAUGGUUUUCAGCACCAAAAGAGAAAUUAAAGAUUUAUCCAAACCCUACUGGUGAUCGAACGAAGCAUGACAGGCAAAAAAAGCAGAGGUUAGUGCGAUCGUCAUGCUGGCUUCUGAGGAGAUCCCUCCAUAACACCCAAGAUCUCUUUGAUGCCGCAGAUUACCCCCUCUCUCGUUAAGAAAAGGCGCAAUCCCCAAAUACAUCCACUGAGUUGAGUUCCUCAUCGUCUCGUAGUUUCUCUUUCUGCAACAGUGUGCAUGAUCAUGGUGAUGCUUUGUUAAGUUAGUUUGUGGUUCACAAGUGCAGCAAGGUCAUGAAUAAUCAGGAUAUAACUUUGACAAAAUUCUGAUCAAUUAAUGUAUAUCUGGAUCAUUGUGUAAAAUUAGUUGAGGUUACUAUUUUUGUAGAGCUAUGUAAAACAAUGAAUCUAAAAGAUUUAGGAAACCUUUAUUAAAAACCUAUGUUGUCAAGUUUCGACAAAAGAAGAUAGAAUACAGGGUGGCUUAAAUCUUAAUUUUGUUACAUGCCCCAUA
Rhododendron vialii is the source of this 1277-nucleotide long non-coding RNA. RefSeq lists it as uncharacterized. The record is from RefSeq and is a predicted model, not a curated record. Lineage: Eukaryota; Viridiplantae; Streptophyta; Magnoliopsida; Ericales; Ericaceae. The transcript is spliced from 3 exons.